GGGCCCAUAGCUCAGUGGUUAGAGCGGACGACUCAUAAUCGUUUGGUCGCUGGUUCGACUCCAGCUGGGCCCA
Molecule: transfer RNA, 73 nt
Filed under: Candidatus Moraniibacteriota bacterium
Lineage: Bacteria; Candidatus Moraniibacteriota
Description: tRNA-Ile
Rfam family: tRNA
About the family: Transfer RNA (tRNA) molecules are approximately 80 nucleotides in length. Their secondary structure includes four short double-helical elements and three loops (D, anti-codon, and T loops). Further hydrogen bonds mediate the characteristic L-shaped molecular structure. tRNAs have two regions of fundamental functional importance: the anti-codon, which is responsible for specific mRNA codon recognition, and the 3' end, to which the tRNAs corresponding amino acid is attached (by aminoacyl-tRNA synthetases). tRNAs cope with the degeneracy of the genetic code in two manners: having more than one tRNA (with a specific anti-codon) for a particular amino acid; and 'wobble' base-pairing, i.e. permitting non-standard base-pairing at the 3rd anti-codon position.
Source: RNAcentral